RNAcentral lists this long non-coding RNA (1050 nucleotides) under Prunus dulcis (almond). Its description in RNAcentral is "sRNA ncRNA". Lineage: Eukaryota; Viridiplantae; Streptophyta; Magnoliopsida; Rosales; Rosaceae. The record is from RNAcentral.
CGAUUAACGUACGACUUGGACAUUUACAGAAACAAGAACAAGGUGGUGAAAUUGUUUGGGAAGCCAAUUGCAGACCUACUGGCAGGGGAAAGGAGAGUGCCGUAUGAAAGCCUUUGCACUCCGUACUGGAGGAAGAAUCCGAAAGAUGAUAAAGAAGCUGACCAAAUUGCAAGGGCAUUUAUACUGUGCUUGAUUGGCUCCUCAUUCCUCAAUGACAAGAGCCAAUACGUGAGUAUGCACUACGCCCCCUGUCUGGAAAUAGUCUCAGACAUUGGUAAAUACGACUGGGGCGGUGCGGCGUUGGCUUGCUUGUAUAGAUCAUUGGAUUCUUGUUCCAGGGGCAGGUCAUCAAGCAUGGGCGGGUAUUGGAGGGCAUGGGAGGUUAGUGUCAUCGAAUUGAAUAUCCGCAAAGUGGAACAUACAUUUGUGCUUACAUGACUAAUUUGUAAACUUGUCUUGUGUAGGUAUGGGCUUGCGAGUACCUAAAGCCGUUUGCUUUAUCAAGGCCCAGUGGGACCUUGAACACGUGGCCCAGAACAUUGAGGUGGGUUGGUGCAAAAUCAAAGCGGGACUUGCAACAUCACUUGGAACAUUUUAGAGUGAUGAUGCGACAUCUAACAAAUGAUCAGGUAUAAACCUCGACGUUUGUGUGAAAUUUUUUUAGCUUCAAAUGUAUGAUUCCCUGAGGUAACCAAUUUGUGUUGCAGGUUAAUUGGAACCCAUGGGGGACCAAUGAAUCCGACAUGCCGGAAGCCGUCAUAAAUAGUGUGCCGGCAACCCGUAAACGAAUCCUACUUGAGGGACCAGCUGGUUCAGCCUGGUUUUUGGGAGAGCGAGUCGCAAUGCAAAGUUUAGGCACCACAGAACCUCAAGUACCCAAAAUUCCACCGCCGACAAUGCUUUCUGAUUAUAAGCUAACUGAUGAGGCAGAAGUCAGGGAAGCACUGAAUGGGUACCCCGCUUCAGAAUGGCUUGCAAAUUCAUCCAACUAUGGCCACUACAGAGAUGAGUACAUAAGGUACCGCCACUAUGAGGACUUGCGUGAAGCGG